UCCCCUGCCCAUUAUGAUCUGAUCGCUCAAGCUAUGGUACGGAAAAUCCUCAAAUUCUUCUAGUAUCUCAUACUUAUGUAGUAAAUUGAUUUCCUGCGUAAUCGCUGUAAAGUUUAGUUGUUCAACUCUGCAAACUGCAGGUGCUCUGCUCCGUGGUAGCCUGGUAGGAGUCACAUCAAUAGAAAAAUCUUCUGAACAUUGGGCGUACAUACAAUUUGCAUGUUCGCUCGGUCUGAUUGCUUCUCGGUUGGGUUGCGUGUUGCUUACAGAUCAUGGGGAGAGAUGAAAAACUACCAGCCUGGACGGUGCUCGUCGUGUCUGGCGUAUAACCUGUUGCGUGGCAAUGACAGCUUUGCGGGGCAGUAGUGUUGGCGCCGGGCGCCAGCAACCACCUUUGGCUCCGCUCCUUGUCACUGUUUUUCCAUCCGUCCUCGUGCGCGGCCCUGGCGGCAAAACUCUAGACAUCAGGCGGGGAUUGGUGACCAUCAACAUUGUUGCCUUGGAGCUACCAGCGGACGAUUCCACCUCUGACGUUUCAUGCCCGAGCGCUAUUUAUUGGACUCACUCCACUUGAUCUCAAAUGAUGCGAUCAUACAGGUCUGUCUAGCCGCCUCCCUUGUCUGUUUGUAGUUGCUACUUUCUGGCAAGUACAAAUUGGUCUAGCCACAGCCCACAGCCGCACAUGUCCCUCUGCAUUCAAACAAAUGGAAUUAAGUUUCGAAGUUAGUAGAAAACUGGUAACAUGUUGAGAAUUUUCACAUCACACAACCAAGUAAAAUCUGAUAGACAGGGGACACGAAAACGCAUCCAUGUUUUGAUUGCAUCCAUGUAUUCAACAAUCACAUAGCAUUUAUGUUUCACCCGGCAAAAAAAAGAUCACAGAACAUAUUUUACUUGAAAUUUCUUCAUUACCUUAGUGAAUUAGAGAAUAGAACGAUAAUGUAUCUUUUGUUAUGAGCAUGAUUGCAUGAAUAGUAUAUCUAAUUCAGCAAAAAAAAGGAUCGGGAGGAAAUAUUUGUUAGUUGGAAACCAACUAUAUCAGUUAUAAUAUUCGAAUAUGCUAAUUAUUUGCUUAAUGAAAUGCUCACUAUAUAUAUUCAGAAGUAUAACAGAGUUAUAUUGGUGUUACUCUGCUGAUUUGGCUCUACUUCUCCUGUUUGCAGAGAGGAUUUUCUUCUUUCUGCUAUCUUGCAGUUCUUAUCUAAUAAUGGCUAUCAUUUGCCAUUGAUAAUAUUAUCUCGUAGUUUAAUUCUGCCUAUAGCGCAGGAUUUGAUUUCAUUCAGCAUCCAUUAUUUAGCUACUUCAACAUCCUACUAGCCUUGCUAUCUCUAAGGAGAAACAUAAAUGCCUAAUCAUGUUGUCAUUCCUGACACUGCAAAAUGGUCAUGUUUUUCAUGCCCAGCAGGUGUUGAUAAAGCAUGCAAAUCAUUUACCAUCUCUUUGCCCAUUUGAGGGGAGAGCAUUUCAAAGGAAUCAUGGACUGGAGGUGUAAGGUUAGAUGGCAAACUAUUUUGCUCACGCAGUUUGAUGACAAAAUUCAUGAAGUCAACUUCCCUGUUUAUUUGGCUCAUGAUUAAUGUUUUUUUAACUUCCAAAUGUUGGCUAGCAAUUGAUAUACUAUGAUCAAACAUGUCAUAAUUCAUUGAUUUAUGGUCACUAUUACAUUUGAUAAUUUAUAAUCACAUAAAUGAACUUAAAUGUUCCGGGCCUGGCAUGUUAGCAUUGGUUUACAUUAUAGUACAAUGAAUAUAUGAUGGAAACAAUGUCGCAAGAUCACUCAGCACUAUAGGCCGGCACGGCAGAACAUGCAUACGCUUCUAGUUUACAUGACGAGUACUUCAUUUGCUUGCAUCAUGCAUGCAUGUAGCUUUCAAAAUAAAUUAUUAUGUUGUAACAAAACCUUAAUCUAAGAAGACCGAAAGUAUGUGUAGAAUAACGCUACUUAGUGCAUUCCUAGUACAUGAUAUCGGAACUCCUGGAAAUUAUCAUUCUUGAGCUGAUUAUGUGUCUCCAUUCACACCUCUUCCUAUUUAAUUGCAGAAUGCUCAUACUGAAAAUAGCAAUGCAGCCAAGUUAGGUGGUCUUCACCAAGUCACUAAGCAGGUACAUAUAUGCUGGGUAUCCAAACAGUUGUAUAAUUGUAGUUGGUCUAAUUCUCUAUGACAUUGUCCUUCUUUGCGUAAAGUGAAAUCUUCCCAGUUUUAUGAAUAACAAUGUUUCAUUUCUUGCAAAACUGGGAUAAGACUGAAGUCUUGUUCUUUUCAAUCAAUUUGAGAAAUAAAAACAAACCCAUGACCAAUGGAACUUUAGGGGGUAAAGAUAGAACAUAUGUGGUUGAAGGAAACAUGCUUGGAGAGCAGUACUCCCUCCGUCCGAAAAAGCUUGCCCCUCAAAUGAAUGUAUCUAGCACCAAGUUAGUGCUAGAUACAUCCAUUUGAGGGACAAGCUUGGGACAAGCUUUUUUGGACGGAGGGAGUAUGUUGCAUUCUCUGUCCGUGGCUCUACAAAUCUAGGAGAUGUGAACUGGUUAGACCAUAUGAAAAAUUCCAACCAGUAGGAGAUGUUGGUUAUGUUUUUGCUUGGCCUUGCUCACAUGUAAGUAUGUUUCCAUACAAGCAUCGAGUGUGCUCCAAUAUCCACAUUUAAGAUACUUCAGUGAUAUAAAAUCUUUGUGGCUUUUUGGUACAAAAAACUAAGCCAACCAUUCAAACGAAGCAUUUGUAUGAUACACUUCUUAUAAUUUAUCAAAGAACAUCUUAUCUUGCACUUGUCUAAAACAUUGUUCAUUUUCAUUUUCAGGGCGGUUGAGGAUUUCAAAAGAGAGUGCAUUAAGGGAGCUAGGAGUAAUUGGGUAGUUGAGGAUUUGAAAAGGGAGUGCACUGAAGGAGCCAGGAUCAGUUGAUGAAACAGUCUGUGAAUGAACAAGUAUUGUGGCUUAUGUUAUAUUUUAGCUUAAUGAGAACCAUAGUUCUAGACUAUAGGAUAUUUUCUUAUUUAUUUGCAUGUUCUGUAUGAAUGUCUCUUAAUAUUCAGUUUUGAACUUCGGUGUAUGUAUCUGUUCGGGCUAAUUGCUCCACUCAGCUUGCCUUUUUUUAAGGGGAACUCAGCCUGUCAAUUUUGAUAACGCGAUGUUUGCAAAUGCAAUCUAUGACGUGGAAUGGUUCCUUCAUAUAAUGAUAUUGUUU
This 3185-nucleotide long non-coding RNA is filed under the name Triticum aestivum (bread wheat). RNAcentral describes it as "long non-coding RNA (TAES_LNC005267)". The stretch from base 2357 to 2482 matches the Rfam family "MIR1120/MIR1122 microRNA precursor family". The record is from RNAcentral. Lineage: Eukaryota; Viridiplantae; Streptophyta; Magnoliopsida; Poales; Poaceae.